CAAUCAAAACUCUCAACACCAGAAGAAACAUUCUCGUAUUUAUUAUUUUUCAUUUGGCUUCUUGUUUUUUGAUCUUUGAAGGAAAAACUGUUAAUUUAAGUAAUUGGAUUUCUAAUAUAAGAGUUCAUGGUUUGUUUAUGAUGAUACAGUUAAUUCUAAUGGAAAGUUUCCACUUUGAAUAAUCAUCACAUCACAUGUCAUUUAUCUGACGCUUUUAUCCACAGCGACUUACAAUCAGAACAUUUCAACCAUCAGGACACAAAGUCAGAAGAACAAGAAACAAGAAAGUGUGAUUUCAUCAAAUAAGCCGUUUUACAACUUGCUGUAGAUAAGAACCAUUAUAAGUCCAAUGUAAGUGCUGCAGGUAGUUAGUGUGUUAGUGGAGGUAGAGUCUGAAGAGGUGUGUCUUUAGUCUGAAGAUGUGAAGGCUCUCUGUGGUCCUGAUGUCUUCACAGACCUCCUUCCACCAUUUAGGAGCAGGACAGCAAAGAGUGGAGAUCUAGUCGAGUGUUUUGCUCUCAGUGAGGAGGAACAAGCAGUUUAUCACAUGCAGAGCGGAGAGGUCAGAGGUCGGGAUGUCGGGUUGGACCAGGUCCUGGAUGUAAGCUGGACCCCAUCCAUUCACAGCCUGGUACCUGAGCACCAUGUUUAGAACUGGAUGAGCCACCGGUACCAGUGAAGAGAGCGGAGGAGUGGAGGAAUACUCACAGAUACUCACAGAAUCAUUCUCAAAAGGAGACGAUGAGACGGUCCGUCCUCCUGCAGCUCUUCCUUGUAGAAGAGUCGUGUCCUCUGAGGACACAAAGGACUGAUGGAAUCUUCAUCCUGACGUCCGGCCUCGUUAACACCAAAUAAUGGAUUUACUGAAGGUAUUUUGCACCAUUUGAAUCACAGAAACUUUUCUCGACCUCAAUAGCAACGUAACAUUCAGCUUUUAGACGUUAGCUUAUUAUUACAAAACAUGAUUACGGUUCAGAAUAAUUCACUAAAUCCUUCCACCCGUCUUUGGGUUGCUUCUUUCGUCUUCACAUCAAGUCCAAGACAGAAACAACUGUCCAUAAAUGUAUUUUAAAUCUCAACUUGUUUUUCCUCUUUGUUUCUGAGAUGCGCUUUUAGAGUUGGACAGAUGUCCCACGAGUGUCCUCGCGUCCUUCACGGGACGGAGGAGGACAGGUUUGUGUCAGUGAGUCCACACUUGUCCUCCAGACGCAGACUUUCACUCCAGGACCCACUUGGAUAGAAAAUACGGCUAAAAAUCUUGAAUGUUUUUGCAGCGUUUGCCUCCUCUUCAUCCUCUUCAUCUGCGCCCCAUCAGCUCCUCCUCCCGCGGGUGGUGUAGUGACUGACAGGGUGGAGCUCGGGCCGGCUGACAGGCGUUUGAUUCUGUGUCAGCGCUUCUUCUCCUUCUGUCCUCCGGAGGCUGAAGGUGGAGUUUAGAAGCAGAGAAGCUUUGUGACAUCGAAUGCAGAAGAACCACCACGUCUCUUAAAGUGUCUUAACUCAAGUGAGGCUUUAAAAAUCAACGAGCUACUUAUUCACACGGCUGACGUCACGGUGCUUUCUGUCCCAAAGCUUUUAAACUCCAGAAAGAACCAAUGUCGUUCUAAGUGAACAUUUAGAAUAUUGAGUGUUUAGACUCCACUGACAAACAGGGUGAGAACGUCCUGCUAGACGGGGACAUUGUUGACACUGAAACACGUCAAACGAUGGAGAGUUGAGAGCACGAGGACAACAAGAAGACGUGUUCCACCUCCAACGUGAUCAUUAAAGUGACAUUAAGUGUCUAAAACAGACUUUCUAAAGUGAUUACGCGUUCAUUUCAGGUUUAGUCUUAAUUGCAAUUACUGAAUUCUUGAUUUAUUUGAAGCAAAUAUAUAUACAUAUAUAUAUAUAUAUAU
Gasterosteus aculeatus aculeatus (three-spined stickleback) is the source of this 1898-nucleotide long non-coding RNA. The record is from Ensembl. NCBI's taxonomy places the organism in Eukaryota, Metazoa, Chordata, Actinopteri, Perciformes, Gasterosteidae.